CCCUUAGAUGUUCUGGGCCGCACGCGCGCUACACUGUUCGACGCAGCGAGUCUUAACCUUGACCGAAAGGUUUGGGUAAUCUUCAGCAAAGUCGAACGUGAUGGGGAUCGAUCAUUGCAAUUAUUGAUCUUAAACGAGGAAUUCCUAGUAAGCGCAAGUCAUCAACUUGCGUUGAUUACGUCCCUGCCCUUUGUACACACCGCCCGUCGCUACUACCGAUUGAAUGGUUUAGUGAGGCCUUCGGAUCCGCGACUCGUUUUGUGGAGAAGUUGGACAAACUCAGUCAUUUAGAGGAAGUAAAAGUCGUAACA
Molecule: ribosomal RNA, 311 nt
Filed under: uncultured eukaryote
Lineage: Eukaryota
Description: partial 18S ribosomal RNA
Rfam family: Eukaryotic small subunit ribosomal RNA
Source: RNAcentral